UCAUGAAAUCUAGAAACGAGUUUAUUUUCUUAGGUAAAAAUAACUGCGUGAACCGUACGCCGCCACGGGAACCUUGCGCCAUCUUUUAAGACUAAAUUGUAUCAGUUUUUCUAGUUACUCUGCAGCCUCUAGAUGGCACUACGUGCUUAAAAGAUCUGUAAUGAAGCAUCAGUUGAAAAAAAGCUGCGAAGAGAUUGAUACGAACGGAUCCUUUACACGCAUAGGUAGUUGUACAAGGUACCUAGGUUUCGAAGAGAAAAAUAGGAUUAAGGACAUUUGCUCAAAAAAGGUCGACUUAACAGCAUGUAUAGCAGGAACGGAUCCCCUCAACUAGGCGAGGUAGCUGUUUGCAGGCGCCCCGUUUCAAAGGGGAGGCCAAUAAAUCAUAACCAUCAUCAUCCGCUCCUACUAAUUGUUGCACCGUUCCACUGUCAGUUGCUGUUUACCCGAGUACGUGCGCUUUCAAAAGCGUGUGAGCAUAAAAUUAUGUGCAAAGCUCGGCAUGACCGCCCCACAGACGUACCAGUUUCUUCGUGACGUUUGCGGCAACGAUACGUUACCGUGAGCUCGACUGUUCGAGGGGAAGAAGAGGUUCGCCUUAAGAAGAACGUCGGUGGAAGGCGACACGCGACAGGGACGCUGCUAAACCUCUCGGACUGAAAGAAAGCUCCCUGGCGGCCGUUCCUGCGGUGAGCGUUGGUGUGCCUCGGCGUCGUAACCCGGCGUAACCGAGCGAAUGAGCACAGCGAAUGAUGAAAGCGACUGCAAAGCACAGCGGGAAAUGAGAGACCCAAGAACGAUAUCGGAGACGAGGGUGCAGCGCAGCCGUGCGGCCGACAGCGGAGCAGAGCAUUGCGAAAGCCCGAGAAGGAAAGCGCAGUGCGGCGACAAUCGCUACGAGAUGGCGCGAAAGUAGCGCUCGCCAUCUGCGAAGUCUGGCGACGGCGGCUGCUGUGAAUUGCGCCCACGGAAUGGCUGUCGCCAAUCUCCAGGUUAGCGAGGCUGCCGUGCCGCACUUCGCUCCAUUUGCAACUUCUCGCACGAGGGACAUGUAGUCGACGCCAGCCAAUAUAUCACGAAGUAAAAACAGGUACCUCGCUCGCUCGCCAGCCACGACUUUGCUGAUGAACUGUGGGCCGCUCGGCAAGCCGAGGAAGCCGCCCGAUUCCAAGGAGUCGAGGCCAUCCCCUAGGCUGGGGUGCUAAUGGCCCAACCCCACCCAAAUCACCGGACAUUUACAAUAAGGUUUGCACUUGCACUCCAGGUACGACAAUUGACUAGAGGUCCAAAAGUCAUCAGGACAAAUGAUUCUCAAAUUUACGAAGGAUGUCUGACAUGUUUGUGAUGAUGAAGCAAUUAUUUCAAUAUAAGAUACAUAUUUGAAAAGGCUUCUUUUUUAUGUUGUUGGCAAUGCAUUACUAAAUUUUCUACCUUCUUACGCUCGU
Molecule: long non-coding RNA, 1445 nt
Organism: Dermacentor andersoni
Lineage: Eukaryota; Metazoa; Arthropoda; Arachnida; Ixodida; Ixodidae
Source: RefSeq, a predicted model, not a curated record